GACGAACUGUCCUAACGUUGUUCGGAAUCACUAGGCUUAAAGGGCGCGUAGGCGGUCCGACAAGUCAGGGGUGAAAUCCUGCAGCUUAACUGCAGAAGUGCCUUUGAUACUGUCGGUCUUGAGGGAGAUAGGGGUGUGCGGAACUCACAGUGGAGCGGUGAAAUGCGUUGAUAUUGUGAGGAACGCCGGAGGCGAAAGCGGCGCACUGGAUCUCUUCUGACGCUGAGGCGCGAAAGCUAGGGGAGCAAACGGG
This 253-nucleotide ribosomal RNA is filed under the name uncultured bacterium. RNAcentral describes it as "partial 16S ribosomal RNA". It matches the Rfam family "Bacterial small subunit ribosomal RNA", at positions 524 to 776 of the family's 1533-position model. The record is from RNAcentral.